RNAcentral lists this unclassified non-coding RNA (242 nucleotides) under Hevea brasiliensis (rubber tree). Lineage: Eukaryota; Viridiplantae; Streptophyta; Magnoliopsida; Malpighiales; Euphorbiaceae. The record is from RNAcentral.
GAUUUGAGAUUCCAUCCAAGAUCAAGCUACACCCAGAAGCAUGGACUCCAGAAUCCGGUCUCGUGACUGCUGCACUGAAGCUAAAGAGGGAAAACAUCCGAAAGACUUUUGCCGACGAUCUCACCCAGCUGUACGCGUGAAGCUAAAGUGAAUUACAAGUUUGGGCUUUCGCAAGCAAUGUAGCCAAUGCACUCAAAUCUUGUGUUCCAUUUGGAUGUGAUAUUUGUUGGCUUCAUAUUUCG